CCUACGGGAGGCAGCAGUGAGGAAUAUUGGUCAAUGGGCGCGAGCCUGAACCAGCCAAGUCGCGUGCGGGAAGACGGUCCUAUGAAUUGUAAACCUCUUUUGUCGGGGAGCAAAAGACGCCACGCGUGGCGUUCCGAGAGUACCCGAAGAAAAAGCAUCGGCUAACUCCGUGCCAGCAGCCGCGGUAAUACGGAGGAUGCGAGCGUUAUCCGGAUUUAUUGGGUUUAAAGGGUGCGCAGGCGGACGAUCAAGUCAGCGGUAAAAUUGAGAGGCUCAACCUCUUCGAGCCGUUGAAACUGGUUUGCUUGAGUGAGCGAGAAGUAUGCGGAAUGUGUGGUGGAGCGGUGAAAUGCAUAGAUAUCACGCAGAACUCCGAUUGCGAAGGCAGCAUACCGGCGCUCAACUGACGCUCAUGCACGAAAGUGUGGGGAUCGAACAGGAUUAGAUACCCUAGUAGUC
Molecule: ribosomal RNA, 459 nt
Filed under: uncultured bacterium
Lineage: Bacteria
Description: partial 16S ribosomal RNA
Rfam family: Bacterial small subunit ribosomal RNA
Source: RNAcentral